UACAGAGGUCUCAAGCGUUGUUCGGAUUCAUUGGGCGUAAAGGGUGCGUAGGCGGGGUUUUAAGUCAGGGGUGAAAUCCUGGAGCUCAACUCCAGAACUGCCUUUGAUACUGAAGAUCUUGAGUCCGGGAGAGGUGAGUGGAACUGCGAGUGUAGAGGUGAAAUUCGUAGAUAUUCGCAAGAACACCAGUGGCGAAGGCGGCUCACUGGCCCGGUACUGACGCUGAGGCACGAAAGCGUGGGGAGCAAACAGG
RNAcentral lists this ribosomal RNA (253 nucleotides) under uncultured bacterium. Its description in RNAcentral is "partial 16S ribosomal RNA". It matches the Rfam family "Bacterial small subunit ribosomal RNA", at positions 524 to 776 of the family's 1533-position model. The record is from RNAcentral.